Molecule: unclassified non-coding RNA, 230 nt
Filed under: Glomeraceae sp.
Lineage: Eukaryota; Fungi; Glomeromycota; Glomeromycetes; Glomerales; Glomeraceae
Description: partial contains 5.8S ribosomal RNA and internal transcribed spacer 2
Rfam family: 5.8S ribosomal RNA (bases 1-71)
Source: RNAcentral
GUGAAUCAUCAAAUUUUUGAACGCAAAUUGCACUCUCUGGUAUUCCGGAGAGUAUGCCUGUUUGAGGGUCAGUUUAAAUAAAAAUCGGUGUGGUCGCUGCCUUUCGUGGUCACUCGCCGGAUUUGGGUCGUCUUGCCUUCGGGUAAGUGACCUAAAAUAUUUCAUGAUUUUUUCGAACGUAUGUAACUGAUUUUACUUACGUUUGCGAUAUCGAUUACUUGGUGUGUUCA